UACGGAGGGUGCGAGCGUUGUCCGGAAUCAUUGGGCGUAAAGGGCGCGUAGGUGGCCCGGUCAGUUCGUGGUGAAAGCGCGGGGCUCAACCCUGCGUCGGCCAUGAAUACUGCUGCGGCUGGAGCACUGUAGAGGCAGGCGGAAUUCCGGGUGUAGCGGUGGAAUGCGUAGAGAUCCGGAAGAACACCGGUGGCGAAGGCGGCCUGCUGGGCAGUUGCUGACACUGAGGCGCGACAGCGUGGGGAGCAAACAGG
RNAcentral lists this ribosomal RNA (254 nucleotides) under uncultured bacterium. RNAcentral's name for it is "partial 16S ribosomal RNA". It matches the Rfam family "Bacterial small subunit ribosomal RNA", at positions 524 to 776 of the family's 1533-position model. The record is from RNAcentral.